UUAAGCAGUAAAUGUGGAGCCGUAGCGAAAGCGAGUCUGAAUAGGGCGUUUAGUAUUUGGUCGUAGACCCGAAACCAGGUGAUCUACCCUUGGUCAGGUUGAAGUUCAGGUAACACUGAAUGGAGGACCGAACCGACUUACGUUGAAAAGUGAGCGGAUGAACUGAGGGUAGCGGAGAAAUUCCAAUCGAACCUGGAGAUAGCUGGUUCUCUCCGAAAUAGCUUUAGGGCUAGCCUCAAGUGAUGAUUAUUGGAGGUAGAGCACUGUUUGGACGAGGGGCCCCUCUCGGGUUACCGAAUUCAGACAAACUCCGAAUGCCAAUUAAUUUAACUUGGGAGUCAGAACAUGGGUGAUAAGGUCCGUGUUCGAAAGGGAAACAGCCCAGACCACCAGCUAAGGUCCCAAAAUAUAUGUUAAGUGGAAAAGGAUGUGGCGUUGCCCAGACAACUAGGAUGUUGGCUUAGAAGCAGCCAUCAUUUAAAGAGUGCGUAAUAGCUCACUAGUCGAGUGACACUGCGCCGAAAAUGUACCGGGGCUAAACAUAUUACCGAAGCUGUGGAUUGUCCUUUGGACAAUGGUAGGAGAGCGUUCUAAGGGCGUUGAAGCAUGAUCGUAAGGACAUGUGGAGCGCUUAGAAGUGAGAAUGCCGGUGUGAGUAGCGAAAGACGGGUGAGAAUCCCGUCCACCGAUUGACUAAGGUUUCCAGAGGAAGGCUCGUCCGCUCUGGGUUAGUCGGGUCCUAAGCUGAGGCCGACAGGCGUAGGCGAUGGAUAACAGGUUGAUAUUCCUGUACCACCUAUAAUCGUUUUAAUCGAUGGGGGG
This is a ribosomal RNA of 822 nucleotides. It matches the Rfam family "Bacterial large subunit ribosomal RNA", at positions 646 to 1471 of the family's 2925-position model.